GCAUAUCAAUAGCGGAGGAAAAGAAACCAACAGGGAUUGCCCUAGUAACGGCGAGUGAAGCGGCAACAGCUCAAAUUUGAAAUCUGGCUCUCGGGCCCGAGUUGUAAUUUGUAGAGGAUACUUUUGAUGCGGUGCCUUCCGAGUUCCCUGGAACGGGACGCCAUAGAGGGUGAGAGCCCCGUCUGGUUGGAUGCCAAAUCUCUGUAAAGUUCCUUCGACGAGUCGAGUAGUUUGGGAAUGCUGCUCUAAAUGGGAGGUAUAUGUCUUCUAAAGCUAAAUACCGGCCAGAGACCGAUAGCGCACAAGUAGAGUGAUCGAAAGAUGAAAAGCACUUUGAAAAGAGAGUUAAAAAGUACGUGAAAUUGUUGAAAGGGAAGCGUUUAUGACCAGACUUGGGCUUGGUUAAUCAUCUGGGGUUCUCCCCAGUGCACUUUUCCAGUCCAGGCCAGCAUCAGUUUUCCCCGGGGGAUAAAGACUUCGGGAAUGUGGCUCUCUUCGGGGAGUGUUAUAGCCCGUUGUGUAAUACCCUGGGGGGGACUGAGGUUCGCGCAUCUGCAAGGAUGCUGGCGUAAUGGUCAUCAACGACCCGUCUUGAAACACGGACCAAGGAGUCGUCUUCGUAUGCGAGUGUUCGGGUGUCAAACCCCUACGCGUAAUGAAAGUGAACGCAGGUGAGAGCUUCGGCGCAUCAUCGACCGAUCCUGAUGUUCUCGGAUGGAUUUGAGUAAGAGCAUACGGGGCCGGACCCGAAAGAAGGUGAACUAUGCCUGUAUAGGGUGAAGCCAGAGGAAACUCUGGUGGAGGCUCGCAGCGGUUCUGACGUGCAAAUCGAUCGUCAAAUAUGGGCAUGGGGGCGAAAGACUAAUCGAACCUUCUAGUAGCUGGUUCCCGCGAG
This 895-nucleotide ribosomal RNA is filed under the name Fusarium sacchari. RNAcentral describes it as "LSU rRNA". It matches the Rfam family "Eukaryotic large subunit ribosomal RNA", at positions 38 to 964 of the family's 3401-position model. Lineage: Eukaryota; Fungi; Ascomycota; Sordariomycetes; Hypocreales; Nectriaceae. The record is from RNAcentral.